Molecule: unclassified non-coding RNA, 184 nt
Filed under: rhizosphere metagenome
Description: partial ribosomal RNA internal transcribed spacer region
Source: RNAcentral
GAGCUUAACAACUCCCAAACCCCUGUGAACAUACUACCGUUGCUUCGGCGGGUACGCCCAGGCGCUGCUUGCAGUGCCCUGGACUUAGCGUUCCGCCGGGGGAAACCAAACUCUUGUCUUUACUGUAUCGUCUGAGUGGAUUAUUAAAUAAAUCAAAACUUUCAACAACGGAUCUCUUGGCUCU